This 780-nucleotide ribosomal RNA is filed under the name Acinetobacter sp. 2P2B5. Its description in RNAcentral is "bacterial SSU rRNA". It matches the Rfam family "Bacterial small subunit ribosomal RNA", at positions 56 to 828 of the family's 1533-position model. Lineage: Bacteria; Pseudomonadati; Pseudomonadota; Gammaproteobacteria; Moraxellales; Moraxellaceae. The record is from RNAcentral.
UGCAAGUCGAGCGGAGAGAAGUAGCUUGCUACUGAUCUUAGCGGCGGACGGGUGAGUAAUGCUUAGGAAUCUGCCUAUUAGUGGGGGACAACAUUCCGAAAGGAAUGCUAAUACCGCAUACGCCCUACGGGGGAAAGCAGGGGAUCACUUGUGACCUUGCGCUAAUAGAUGAGCCUAAGUCGGAUUAGCUAGUUGGUGGGGUAAAGGCCUACCAAGGCGACGAUCUGUAGCGGGUCUGAGAGGAUGAUCCGCCACACUGGGACUGAGACACGGCCCAGACUCCUACGGGAGGCAGCAGUGGGGAAUAUUGGACAAUGGGGGGAACCCUGAUCCAGCCAUGCCGCGUGUGUGAAGAAGGCCUUUUGGUUGUAAAGCACUUUAAGCGAGGAGGAGGCUACUUUGGUUAAUACCCAGGGAUAGUGGACGUUACUCGCAGAAUAAGCACCGGCUAACUCUGUGCCAGCAGCCGCGGUAAUACAGAGGGUGCGAGCGUUAAUCGGAUUUACUGGGCGUAAAGCGUACGUAGGCGGCUUUUUAAGUCGGAUGUGAAAUCCCUGAGCUUAACUUAGGAAUUGCAUUCGAUACUGGGAAGCUAGAGUAUGGGAGAGGAUGGUAGAAUUCCAGGUGUAGCGGUGAAAUGCGUAGAGAUCUGGAGGAAUACCGAUGGCGAAGGCAGCCAUCUGGCCUAAUACUGACGCUGAGGUACGAAAGCAUGGGGAGCAAACAGGAUUAGAUACCCUGGUAGUCCAUGCCGUAAACGAUGUCUACUAGCCGUUGGGG